RNAcentral lists this ribosomal RNA (253 nucleotides) under uncultured bacterium. Its description in RNAcentral is "partial 16S ribosomal RNA". It matches the Rfam family "Bacterial small subunit ribosomal RNA", at positions 527 to 779 of the family's 1533-position model. The record is from RNAcentral.
CGGAGGUGCAAGCGUUAUCCGGAUUUAUUGGGUUUAAAGGGUCCGUAGGCGGGCCCGUAAGUCAGUGGUGAAAUCUCGCAGCUUAACUGUGAAACUGCCAUUGAUACUGCGGGUCUUGAGUAAAUUUGAAGUGGCUGGAAUAAGUAGUGUAGCGGUGAAAUGCAUAGAUAUUACUUAGAACACCAAUUGCGAAGGCAGGUCACUAAGAUUUAACUGACGCUGAUGGACGAAAGCGUGGGGAGCGAACAGGAUU